This 228-nucleotide ribosomal RNA is filed under the name uncultured bacterium. RNAcentral describes it as "partial 16S ribosomal RNA". It matches the Rfam family "Bacterial small subunit ribosomal RNA", at positions 568 to 796 of the family's 1533-position model. The record is from RNAcentral.
UGCGUAGGCGGCCUAUUAAGUCAGUGGUGAAAGGUAUCAGCUUAACUGAUGACGUGCCAUUGAAACUGAUAGGCUUGAGUACAGACGAGGUAGGCGGAAUUUAUGGUGUAGCGGUGAAAUGCAUAGAUACCAUAAAGAACACCGAUAGCGAAGGCAGCUUACUAGACUGAGACUGACGCUGAGGCACGAAAGCGUGGGGAGCGAACAGGAUUAGAUACCCUGUAGUCC